Molecule: unclassified non-coding RNA, 230 nt
Filed under: uncultured Russula
Lineage: Eukaryota; Fungi; Basidiomycota; Agaricomycetes; Russulales; Russulaceae
Description: sequence contains ITS2
Source: RNAcentral
CAUCCUCAACCUUCUUGGUCUUUUUUGACUUUAGAAGGCUUGGACUUUGGGGGUUUUUGCUGGCCUUUAUUUUUAAAAGCCAGCUCCUCCUAAAUGCAUUAGUAGGGUCUACAUUGUCGAUCCUCGACGUUGAUAAGAUGCUUCUACGUCUUGGUUUACCUUUUGUAGCCUGCUUCUAACCGUCUCAUUGGAGACAAAGCGGCUCAAGUUUUCACUUGAACCCACAAAGC